Molecule: long non-coding RNA, 348 nt
Organism: Papaver somniferum (opium poppy)
Lineage: Eukaryota; Viridiplantae; Streptophyta; Magnoliopsida; Ranunculales; Papaveraceae
Exons: 3
Source: RefSeq, a predicted model, not a curated record
UUUGACAUAUGACUUACGAUGUUUCCGAAUUUAUUUGGUGGUGUGGUGGGUUUCUGGUGUUAAUAACCACCAAAGGUACUGAUUAAGGUUCUCAAGGAAAUACAAAGUUGUGUCCCAUAAGUGAACCAAAUCCAACAUCAUUUGGAGAAAAACACCACUGCUCCAUCCACAUCAAUCCUGCCUCCAACACUUGAAGACUGUUUAUAGAACCUUUCCAUAUCACUGCAGCAGAGGCUCCCAAAAAGUUGUCAUGAAAGUGGAUGCAAUGAAUUUUUGCGGUAUUUUAACCUCUCCAACUAAGAGAUCUUUGGAAAAAAAGUUUUAGAGGUUUCUGUUGGAGGAGACCUA